Molecule: ribosomal RNA, 500 nt
Filed under: uncultured bacterium
Lineage: Bacteria
Description: partial 16S ribosomal RNA
Rfam family: Bacterial small subunit ribosomal RNA
Source: RNAcentral
AUUGAACGCUGGCGGCAUGCCUUACACAUGCAAGUCGAACGGCAGCGCGGACUUCGGUCUGGCGGCGAGUGGCGAACGGGUGAGUAAUGCAUCGGAACGUACCUUUCAGUGGGGGAUAACGUAGCGAAAGUUACGCUAAUACCGCAUAUUCUGUGAGCAGGAAAGCAGGGGAUCGCAAGACCUUGCGCUGAUUGAGCGGCCGAUGUCAGAUUAGCUAGUUGGUGAGGUAAAGGCUCACCAAGGCGACGAUCUGUAGCGGGUCUGAGAGGAUGAUCCGCCACACUGGGACUGAGACAUGGCCCAGACUCCUACGGGAGGCAGCAGUGGGGAAUUUUGGACAAUGGGGGCAACCCUGAUCCAGCCAUGCCGCGUGAGUGAAGAAGGCCUUCGGGUUGUAAAGCUCUUUCGGCCGGGAAGAAAUCGCAUGGGUUAAUACCCUGUGUGGAUGACGGUACCGGAAUAAGAAGCACCGGCUAACUACGUGCCAGCAGCCGCCGCCG